GACAGGGUGGCAACCCAGCGAAGCAACAACCGAAAACGUUGGACGUGGGUCCUAAAAACAUUGGAUUAGCCGCUUUUAAAUAUAUGGAACAUAAAAGAUGUUUGAUAGUGCGAAAUAACUGGCAACAAUCAUUUUUGCACGGCAUUGCGCGCCGCAUGAAAAUCGCGGCAAAUGCCGCUUAGAAUUUCGAUAAGAAGCGGACAACGGGAUGCUUACUUCUAUCAAUGUAAAUGGCUAAUGUGGCACCACUGGUCGCGAGAGCAACGUUCCCAUACAGUCACCAAAGGUAUACAGCGGAAAGCGACGUCGGCAGAGCGCUUAGCCGACUAUUGCAGUACAUAACGAAAUCGAGGAAACCGAAAAUCAGAAACCAAACGGACCACUAGCGAGCUACAACUCUGCCACGGCUACACUUUACACACUCUCAUUUACUCCUCCACCGCGCACAGCAACCCACACUCUCGCACAGCCGCGUGCGUGCGGUAGAGAGAGGCUACGACAGGAAAAAGCAAUAAAAAUGAAGGAGAAAAAAGGCAAAGUGCAUCUCACCAUGACAAUGGCGGAACCAUAAAAACACAUGUUCCCAUCUUGAAUCGAAGCAAAUUCGGCGGACUACCUCCCCUAAAAAAAAAAAAAGAAAAGAAAAAACUGGCGAAAUAAAAUCUGUACACGCGAAAAAGUAGAGCUGCUAGAAAUACGAGUGGCAUGGAAACCUUGCAGUUAUCGAUUCGCCUCGCUCAUUGCGCAAUGUAAAAUGCAGCGGGGGCGGUGAGAGAGUAAAUAGAAAGAGAUUGAGUGUCUCUCUUUUUAAGGCACCUGCAGCGCUGAGAAAUGCAAAUCCGACUUCCACUUUCCAGCUCAAAAGUUCAAAGUUCAUAUGCAACUAACUAACAUUUGGGUGCAGCGCAUGUCCACCAUGCACAGAAAUUCCCGGACCAAAAAAUUCGAGAAUAGGGACAAACAGCACUCUCCGACUUCCAGGCGCCGCAGGAAGAUUGCUGAUUUGAAAUACUGCAAAAUGAAAUGAAUACUAUAUACAACGCUCAUUAAGUGAAAUGUGGAAUGGUAUUAAUCUUCCGUCAGACUGAUCCAACUUCUUACAUAUAAGGCAAAUUGGUUGAUUGGGAAAAAACGUGCUUAGCAAAAUUUCAGACAAUUAUUUCUCAGUUACCUAUGUAUGUACACAUAUGUGAUGGUUAUGUUCAACUAUUGACUUCAACUAAAUGACUAUUUCUCUUCUGGCUACUAACGUAAGAGAUGAAAGUGGAUUGUCUAAGUUUUAAAAUUUUGUUGUUUUCAAUGUUUUUGAUGAUUUCUACGUUACUUAAUACAACAACAAAUAACAUGAAUGUAAAAAACUAACAAUAAAUAGAAUGAAUUGUA
Drosophila ficusphila is the source of this 1383-nucleotide long non-coding RNA. RefSeq lists it as uncharacterized. The transcript is spliced from 3 exons. NCBI's taxonomy places the organism in Eukaryota, Metazoa, Arthropoda, Insecta, Diptera, Drosophilidae. The record is from RefSeq and is a predicted model, not a curated record.